Molecule: long non-coding RNA, 654 nt
Organism: Helianthus annuus (common sunflower)
Lineage: Eukaryota; Viridiplantae; Streptophyta; Magnoliopsida; Asterales; Asteraceae
Exons: 2
Source: RefSeq, a predicted model, not a curated record
CUCAUCUGCCAUGUUGUAAUGUCAAAUCAAAUAAGAGAUUUCAAAAUCAUAUCCCUUUUUCUCUCUCCCACUCUCUACUCACAAUUAUCACAUCUCUUUCCUCCCUCACCCCACAAACGUGAAGAAGAACAAGAAGAAGAUGGUCUCAUUUCAGAAUUAAAAUAUCUACCUUCAAGAUUUCAAGAAAUACUAAUUCCAGAUUCAGUUGCAGAAGACGAUGGUGGUUGCAGAUCAAAGCAUGAUUCAGUUGCAGAAGACCAUGGUGGUUGCAGAUCUGGUGGUUGGUGGAAGGUGGUGACUGGUUCAUUCUGGGGUGUUGGUGGUUGAUAGCGGCGACAGUGGGUGGUUGUAGAAGGUGGUGGAGGGUGGGUGGUUGGUGGCGCCGGAGUUCGGAACGUCGUCGGAGUCAAGAUCUAGUAAUGAAACAGAUCCAUAAAGAUAUUCAAUUGACAAGCUGGAUGGAUGUAGGCGACGUUAAUGCGGGGACAUUGAAUAAGUCAACUCUUUUGGGAAAGAAGUUUUCGUUCGUUUAUAACAUGUGUUAGUGAUUCAUACUGUAAUAGAUCCAUAAAGAAGUUUUCAUGCUGUAACAAGUUUUCGUUCGUUUCUAACAUGCUUUGCACAUUUUGGAAUGUAUAACAUGUGUUAAGCCUC